UUGAUGAGCACAAGUUAGAUAGUUAGUUUGAUUACAACAUUAGUAGCAUGGUUUUUGUGAUUUUGAAUAUUUGAUUAGGGCUUUUGUUUUGAAGGCACUGGUACAGGUGAAUCUAUGUGACUAGGCAGGUGGAGGGAGGCGUUUAUGGGGUUUUUUAGCAGGGUGACAGGGCAAGAGAGAUGCAGACACCAUUGUCAAUUGUUUGCAACUCAAAGGAAAAUAAACCCCGAAACCAUACCACAAUGAUUAACCACUGAUGGAAUGUAACUGAGGACGUUCAGUCAAGUACUGUUCUUAAGCUCAAUUUGGAGUGACUUUACUUGAGUAUUUAAAGUCCUUCUAGUUUAUACUUCCACUCCAGUGGACAGGAAAGGCAUGUAAAACUGUGACCUAACAAAGUGACUAGUAACUGAAGCUGUUAGACCAAUGUAGUGGAGUAAAAAGUACAACAUUCCAGUAAAGUUACAUAGAAUCGAAAUACACGAGUAAAGAACUGUUGAAGAAAUCAUUCAAGUCCCGUUGAGCAGUUUGCUAUGGUGAUGUGUUUAUUCGAAGAAUACCGGUAAACUGGUGAACCGCGACAGGCACAGAGCAGAUCUGAGCUGGACUCCUCUCCACCUCCCCCCUCGGGGCUGCCUGCCUUCAAGAUCCCUUCUUCUGGGCCCAACAAGCUGUGGAGAGCUGCAAGCUGCCUUCGCAGCAGGCCCAAAGAACCUCUCCUCACUGUAGCGACACAAGGUCCUGCCAGUCUGAGGAUCUGAGGAACACAAAGCAGGUUAGCACUGAGCUGCUAUCCUUGCAAAGGAAAGGAGCGACCAGUUUCUUCCUCUGCCGACUUUCAUCUAACCUUGAACAGCAAGAACAGCGCUGAUCAACAGUGGAACCCCAACCUUCUCCUGCAACCACCAGCAGCUUCUCUUCAAAGACUGCUGAAGUCGUCCCCUCAUCAUGCCAGUCUCCAGGAGAACUGAGGACGAUGCAAAGGCGGCAUUUCAGUCCUGUAAAAGUCCUGAUCCAAAAGACCGCGUGGACUUCUAUGACAGCUGGGUAGACUAUGAAGAGGAUCAACGCCUGAUGAGCUUCAAAGGACCGGACCUGGCAGUAAACUUCCUGUCUGACAACUUCUCUGGGAGUCCCGAGGGUGCUCUGGUUCUGGACGUGGCCUGUGGGUCAGGAUGGGUCACCAAAGUGAUGGUUAAACUGGGCUUCAGGCGCUUUGUUGGAGUGGAUGGCAGUAAGGGAAUGCUACAGCGAGCUGCUGAGACCGGCCUCUAUCAGGACCUCAGACUGGCCUUACUGGGAACCGAACGACUGCCUGCACAGACUGGUGUGUUCGAUGUGGUGAUCAUUGUCGGCGCUCUGGAUGCUGGUUUUGUACCAGUUAGCGUUGUCAGGGAGCUCUGCCACGCCGCCAAACCAGGGGGUCUCAUCUGUAUGGCGAGGGGCGACCACACUCAAACGCCAUCAGAGAGAUACAAGAGGGAGCUGGAGAAAGAGCUGCAGCUGAUGGAGGAGGGGGGACUGUGGAGCCUGGUGGGAAUCAAGCGGACGGAGAGAUACAUGGAAAACCCACAUCUGACUAAUGAGAAAGGAGGGAAGGGCGAGCAGGAGAAGCAAUACAUCAGCGGGACCGUUUACCUGUACAAGAAAUCCAUGAGUCCGUUAAACUGAAGAUUAAUGAUACAGUACAGAGGAGACAGCAACAUGUUUGUUAACCUGACUCUAGUACCGCGGCACCGCCAGGUAUUCUGGGCCUCAUCACCACAGGCCAUGUGAACCCUGCUCUGUAACCACAUCUCCAGGAUCCAAUCAGCCCAUUGAAAACUUUAAAUAACACUGCUUAUAUGGUGUUUAUGUAUGUUUUACUGUGAGCCUUGAAAAUAUAACACUGUGCAGACAUACAUGCAACACCCUGCAUGCAGUGGAAUUCAGUGUUCGAUGUUCAACAAGCCACUCAAACAAGGUUCCCCUGGUGGGAUUAAUACAGUCUUUAUCUGUAGAUGUCAUUAAAUCAUUCAGUCUGCAUCAAGACUUGACGGUAUUAUUUUAGCGCUGGCUUUAACUUUAAUACAGACUGAGUCACUCAAUGCCUCAAACUGUCCAUUACCGAAUACAGACUAUAGGAUCUUUAGGUUUUGUGUAAUUAUCAUUACAUGGAAAAGUAAUUUCAGUGUUUCAUUGGAAGAGAUUUAGUCGUAGUACAAAUAGAGAGCUACAUUCCCACAGAGCCCCGGAGUGGCAGUAACUGACAUGUCACUCAACACAAUGUUGUUCACGUUCUUGAGAUGUGGGCUGCGGAGGGAUGUGGAGGAGACGAGGCUGCUGAUGACUCUGCUGAGUCUGGUAGGAGAGGCAGGGACAGCUCACAUAAUAUAAUUAGCUUGACCUGCACCGAUUAAAUGUAGGUUGGUAAGGAGUGAAAUGUAACAGUGAAAUGUAGCUUUAUUCACUGUGACCAUAAUGCUAACAAGUUCAUUUCAAACACACUACAUUUCACACACUACACCCACCCUUCUUCAAGUAAAGCUGGGUGUAACUGGGUAUCGCCUCUUUUGUUUCUCCCUCCUGUCUUUCUGUUUU
This is an RNA transcript of Acanthopagrus latus (yellowfin seabream), 2580 nucleotides long. It is a transcript of the gene named methyltransferase-like protein 27, with no coding region annotated. The transcript has 8 exons. The record is from RefSeq and is a predicted model, not a curated record. NCBI's taxonomy places the organism in Eukaryota, Metazoa, Chordata, Actinopteri, Spariformes, Sparidae.